Hordeum vulgare subsp. vulgare (domesticated barley) is the source of this 1230-nucleotide RNA transcript. RefSeq lists it as uncharacterized. The record is from RefSeq and is a predicted model, not a curated record. The transcript is spliced from 4 exons. NCBI's taxonomy places the organism in Eukaryota, Viridiplantae, Streptophyta, Magnoliopsida, Poales, Poaceae.
GCAUCGUAUGUCCCCGCUCCCCCAAUUAACCCAGUAAGCGCUACGCAACCGCUUCGUCCCCGCUCGCCCCCGUGACCCCACCCGCUCGCCUUCGCUGCUCGCUGCUGCCGCCGCUCGCCCCCACAGCAGCUCUACCCCAGCCCGCUCGCCCUCGCCUCCCUACUUCUCUCCGGCGACGCAUCUUCGGGACAGGACGAUUCGGGCCGGCGACGCAGCUUCGGGAGAGGAUGAGAGAAGAGGGGAGGAAAAAGAGAGGCCUGGAGGCGUGCUCCGACGGCUGUGUGGCGCGCAGAAUUGGAUCGGGGUGCUUCCCCACAGCCGCAGCCGCAGCCGACUAGCGACACCACAUGCCCAAAAUCAGGUAGAGGAUCGAUCAUCCAGUUCCCGUUCCGCGGUCCGCCGGCAUCGCCGACGUCGUUUCUUUUGGUCCCGGGCAAAACGUCGCAGGGCUUCGCGGAGGACACCUCGGCCGCGGAGGAGGAUGGCGACCUGAGGAACCUGAUGCGCUGUCGCAGCCACCUCGUCCAGACCUACUCGGACAAGAAGGGCGACGCGGCCGCGCGCGGGAACCUACUCCGGGAGCUCGUCGUCGUCACCCCGCGCUUCGCCGAGGCGGCCGGACGCCAUCGGCUCUGCUUCGCGUGGCGGGACGCCGGGAUGCCAUCGGCUCUGCUUCGCGUAGAGGACACACGAGGGGCCGACGGGAUACGACGCGCGUGCGCCGCGCUCUGCAAUGAGACGGGCCUGCUGAGAGCAGCGUCGGAGGGGGAAGGGGGAGGAGACGGUGCGGUGGGUUGCCAGCUGCGGCACAUGUCUGAUGCGUGCAUGGUGGCGUUCGAGGCGUUGAUGCUCGCGCAGGCCCUUGAGUUCUACUUCGAGCUCGCCGUCGCGCCAAGAACCUUCAGUCAUGAGGCCACCGUGACGGAGGACUUCCAUCUCAGGAUUAUUGUUUUUCCAUGAUAAUACGUGUGUUGCACGUGUACGGUUACUAGCUUAAACAAAUAGAUUGCUUGAGGCAGGAACAGGGAAACAAUUUAUGUGGAUACUAUGUUUGCGAGUUCAUUCGUCAGACGAGUCAUGAGACGGGCAAAAACCGGGACAUAAAAAAAUUAAAAUCAAACGAUUGCGGGGCGGUCUUCUACCACAUGAACAUGUACGAGCAAUUCAAGAGAAAAUUGUCGGAUUCUUAGAUGCAGAGGUCCUAGAUGUCAAGGAGAAUACUAUUGCCCG